AGAGUUUGAUCCUGGCUCAGGAUGAACGCUGGCGGCGUGCAUCAUACAUGCAAGUCGAACGAGAAUUUGGAGCUUGCUCCGAAGGAAAGUGGCGGACGGGUGAGUAAUACAUAGGGAAUCUGCCCUUAGCCGGGGGACAACAGUUGGAAACGACUGCUAAUACCGCAUAUGAGAUAUGUUGAGAUACAUAUUUUGAAAACUCCGGUGGCUAAGGAUGAGCCUGUGCCUGAUUAGCUUGUUGGCGGUGUAAUAGACCACCAAGGCGACGAUCAGUAGCUGGUUUGAGAGGAUGAUCAGCCACAAUGGGACUGAGACACGGCCCAUACUCCUACGGGAGGCAGCAGUAGGGAAUUUUGCGCAAUGGGGGAAACCCUGACGCAGCAACGCCGCGUGUGUGAAGAAGUCCUUAGGGAUGUAAAGCACUGUCAGUAGGGACGAAAUAUGACGGUACCUGCAGAGGAAGCACCGGCUAACUCCGUGCCAGCAGCCGCGGUAAUACGGGGGGUGCAAGCGU
This 514-nucleotide ribosomal RNA is filed under the name uncultured bacterium. Its description in RNAcentral is "bacterial SSU rRNA". It matches the Rfam family "Bacterial small subunit ribosomal RNA", at positions 8 to 541 of the family's 1533-position model. The record is from RNAcentral.